GAUCCUGGCUCAGAACGAACGCUGGCGGCAGGCUUAACACAUGCAAGUCGAACGCCCCGCAAGGGGAGUGGCAGACGGGUGAGUAACGCGUGGGAACGUACCUUUCAGUUCGGAAUAACUCAGGGAAACUUGUGCUAAUACCGGAUACGCCCGCAAGGGGAAAGAUUUAUCGCUGAAAGAUCGGCCCGCGUUGGAUUAGCUAGUUGGUGGGGUAAAGGCCUACCAAGGCGACGAUCCAUAGCUGGUCUGAGAGGAUGAUCAGCCACACUGGGACUGAGACACGGCCCAGACUCCUACGGGAGGCAGCAGUGGGGAAUAUUGGACAAUGGGCGCAAGCCUGAUCCAGCCAUGCCGCGUGUGUGAUGAAGGCCUUAGGGUUGUAAAGCACUUUCACCGAUGAAGAUAAUGACGGUAGUCGGAGAAGAAGCCCCGGCUAACUUCGUG
Molecule: ribosomal RNA, 444 nt
Filed under: uncultured bacterium
Lineage: Bacteria
Description: bacterial SSU rRNA
Rfam family: Bacterial small subunit ribosomal RNA
Source: RNAcentral